AUGUUUGAGCACUACCAUCUUCAUCCUCUCAAUACUCUGUCUGGUAAGUUCAGUGCCUCUGUCAUCAAAGAAUUUUACUCAAAUUUUCCUGUUGAUCCUAAGGGGUCUAACUAUCAGAUUGUUGUUCAUACUAUGCCUAUUGUUCUUCGACCCUCUGUUGUCAAUCGGGUUUUAGGUUUUCGGUCUUGCUCUGGCUUCGAUUAUGA
This 206-nucleotide long non-coding RNA is filed under the name Prunus dulcis (almond). RNAcentral describes it as "sRNA ncRNA". The record is from RNAcentral. Lineage: Eukaryota; Viridiplantae; Streptophyta; Magnoliopsida; Rosales; Rosaceae.